UACGUAGGGGGCAAGCGUUGUCCGGAUUUAUUGGGCGUAAAGAGCGUGUAGGCGGUUUUACAGGUCCGCUGUGAAAACUCGAGGCUCAACCUCGAGCUGUCGGUGGAAACCGUAAGGCUAGAGUCCGGAAGAGGAGAGUGGAAUUCCUAGUGUAGAGGUGGAAUUCGUAGAUAUUAGGAAGAACACCAGUGGCGAAGGCGGCUCACUGGUCCGGUACUGACGCUGAGGUGGCGAAAGCGUGGGGAGCGAACAGG
Molecule: ribosomal RNA, 254 nt
Filed under: uncultured bacterium
Lineage: Bacteria
Description: partial 16S ribosomal RNA
Rfam family: Bacterial small subunit ribosomal RNA
Source: RNAcentral